RNAcentral lists this long non-coding RNA (476 nucleotides) under Brassica rapa (field mustard). RNAcentral's name for it is "long non-coding RNA (BRAP_LNC002497)". The record is from RNAcentral. Lineage: Eukaryota; Viridiplantae; Streptophyta; Magnoliopsida; Brassicales; Brassicaceae.
AAAUAGUUUGAGUCCACAUUAACAGAAAAAAAAUGAAGACUUUCUCUCAAUUUUUAUAACAUGAAGAUACGCACCAUACAACAUACAGUCAUGCUCAGGAAGAAGACAAAAUGAAUUCCACAUUUUAAAAAGUCGGGCUGCACAGCUGCAUAACUUACACAGAGAGCGAGAAUGAAACUUCAUUAGGGAGAUAAAAUAUGAGUCACCAUCUCCAAAGCUAUAUCUGACCCGUACCUGAGAAUCUAUCGUAAGAAGAGAAAGCACAUAGUCGGAACCAUCAAUGGAGAUGUCGAAGGAAAGAAGAGACGGAACAGUGUCGGAGAAAUUUUAACUGGCACACCGGACCCUUGAACCACUGUUGAACUGACAUGUCCAUCUUUUAAGAAGCAGAUAUGGUUAUUCUUAUCCACAUCACUUGAAUCGAUUCCCGAUUUUUAUACCAUAUACAGAUCUCUUUGCGUCUUAACUAAGCCUUG